UUUAUUAAAGAAAUAAUUUGUGUUUGUAAUGUUUUUUUGAAAAUGCAUAUUUCUUUUCCAUGGAAUUUUGUUUACAGGGUAUACACCAUGGAGAGUAUCAAUUAUUUGUUAUCUUUAAAACAUUAGAAAGUAUUGAACAAUGGUUGAGUCUUGCAUGAUAUCAUUCAUCACUAGUCAAUUUAAGAAAUUGUAUUUCCUUCCCAUGAAGUUCUAUGCUUUAAAGCACAUUUAUUAGAAAGGUUGAUUUAAGGUUGAUUUACAAUAAAUUUAAAGUUUUCAAAAUUCAUGAUUUUUGGCAAGAUGAGACAAUGAUUCCCUUGUUAGAAAUAAUCAUUGGCAAGAUGAGACAAUGAUUCCCUUGUUAAAAAUAAUCAUAUGUCUUUUUUCAUUUAAAUUAAACACGUACCAGCAAAUUAACCUUAAAUUUGUCAAUUAAUCUUUUUACAGCUUUUUUUAUGAAAAAAAUCAAUCAAUUUGCAUUCUGACAUUAGAUAUAAGUUAUUUGACAGAUGCAAC
Molecule: long non-coding RNA, 516 nt
Filed under: Mytilus galloprovincialis (Mediterranean mussel)
Lineage: Eukaryota; Metazoa; Mollusca; Bivalvia; Mytilida; Mytilidae
Source: RNAcentral